This 71-nucleotide transfer RNA is filed under the name Marmota monax (woodchuck). RNAcentral's name for it is "tRNA.Ala". The record is from RNAcentral. Lineage: Eukaryota; Metazoa; Chordata; Mammalia; Rodentia; Sciuridae.
GGUUGUGGCUCAGUGGUAGAGCACUUGCCUAGCAUGUAUAAGGUUCAAUCUGGGUUCGAUCCUCAGCACCA